This 460-nucleotide ribosomal RNA is filed under the name uncultured bacterium. Its description in RNAcentral is "partial 16S ribosomal RNA". It matches the Rfam family "Bacterial small subunit ribosomal RNA", at positions 338 to 795 of the family's 1533-position model. The record is from RNAcentral.
CCUACGGGAGGCAGCAGUGAGGAAUAUUGGUCAAUGGACGAGAGUCUGAACCAGCCAAGUAGCGUGAAGGAUGACUGCCCUAUGGGUUGUAAACUUCUUUUAUAUGGGAAUAAAACGUUCCACGUGUGGGAUUUUGUAUGUACCAUAUGAAUAAGGAUCGGCUAACUCCGUGCCAGCAGCCGCGGUAAUACGGAGGAUCCGAGCGUUAUCCGGAUUUAUUGGGUUUAAAGGGAGCGUAGGUGGAUUGUUAAGUCAGUUGUGAAAGUUUGCGGCUCAACCGUAGAAUUGCAGUUGAUACUGGCAGUCUUGAGUACAGUAGAGGUAGGCGGAAUGCGUGGUGUAGCGGUGAAAUGCUUAGAUAUCACGAAGAACUCCGAUUGCGAAGGCAGUUCACUGGACUGCAACUGACACUGAGGCUCGAAAGUGUGGGUAUCAAACAGGAUUAGAUACCCCAGUAGUC